UACGUAGGGUGCAAGCGUUGUCCGGAAUUAUUGGGCGUAAAGAGCUCGUAGGCGGUUUGUCGCGUCUGCUGUGAAAACUCGGGGCUUAACUCCGGGCCUGCAGUGGGUACGGGCAGACUAGAGUGCGGUAGGGGAGACUGGAAUUCCUGGUGUAGCGGUGAAAUGCGCAGAUAUCAGGAGGAACACCCGUGGCUAAGGCGGCUCUCUAGUACGUGACUGACGCUGAGACGCGAAAGCGUGGGGAGCGAACAGG
This 253-nucleotide ribosomal RNA is filed under the name uncultured bacterium. RNAcentral's name for it is "partial 16S ribosomal RNA". It matches the Rfam family "Bacterial small subunit ribosomal RNA", at positions 524 to 776 of the family's 1533-position model. The record is from RNAcentral.